Long non-coding RNA from Gambusia affinis (western mosquitofish), 592 nucleotides. RefSeq lists it as uncharacterized. The record is from RefSeq and is a predicted model, not a curated record. NCBI's taxonomy places the organism in Eukaryota, Metazoa, Chordata, Actinopteri, Cyprinodontiformes, Poeciliidae. The transcript is spliced from 4 exons.
CAAGCCUCCUUAGAAUAAGAGCGUGCUCCAGCUCCCAGUUAAAUAUGAUCCUAAAUUCAAGGUCCAACCUUUGCUACUGCGUUAAGAAUCAGUAAAAGGAUACCUACAAAAGAGACAGAGGAGGUUCCUUUGACCUGAACCUAAACCUAAACAGAGGAUGGAUGAGAUAUAUGACUUCUUAAAAUCACGGGAUGUUUCAGAGGAAGUCAUACAACGACUGCAAAAGGAUAAGAUUGACUCCAGUGUCCUUCUGCUCAUGACAGAUGAGCAGCUUAAGGAGUAUCUCCCAUCUUAUGGUGACCGACUGGCACUUCUCGGAUAUUGCAGACGAAGGGAAAAUGAUCCUGCUGGCCGGAAAUCAAAACUUUUUGACAGAUUGAGAGUCAAGAUUUCAAGGAACACAGGCAACAAUCAAAAGCAGAUCUCAGAAAAUGUUAGCAUCAGAAAUGCUCAAAAAACUGUUCGAAAAGUUGAGAUAGGAUGGAUGAAUUCUCAAGAUGGGAAUUUUUUUCAAGUUCGGACAAAGAAAGGUGGUGGAACAAGAAAAAUUGAUGUGUCAAAGGAAUGUAGAAAAAAUGACUUAAUUGAAAAG